GAUGAACGCUGGCGGCGUGCCUAAAACAUGCAAGUCGAGCGGCAGCGAGUUCCUCGCUAAUGUUCGGAUUUGUUUACCAAUGAUGCAAGUAAUUUAGUCAGAGUAACAAAGUAACGACUAGUUGUUUAAGUUAAAAGGUAGAUUUAAUAUUCCGGAUAUGAGCGAGGAAUGUCGGCGAGCGGCGGACGGCUGAGUAGCGCGUAGGAACAUACCCCAAAGUGAGGCAUAACCGCCCGAAAGGGUGGCUAAUACCGCAUAUUGUCUUCGGAUGAAAGCUUUUAGCGCUUUGGGAAUGGCCUGCGUUUGAUUAGCUAGUUGGUGAGGUAAGGGCUUACCAAGGCGAUGAUCAAUAGCUGGUUUGAGAGAAUGAUCAGCCAGACUGGAACUGAGACACGGUCCAGACUCCUACGGGAGGCAGCAGUUGGGAAUUUUCCACAAUGGGCGAAAGCCUGAUGGAGCAACGCCGCGUGCAGGAAGAAUGCCUUCGGUGUAA
This 493-nucleotide ribosomal RNA is filed under the name uncultured bacterium. Its description in RNAcentral is "bacterial SSU rRNA". It matches the Rfam family "Bacterial small subunit ribosomal RNA", at positions 28 to 428 of the family's 1533-position model. The record is from RNAcentral.